GGAGAUGUAGCUAAGAGGAACAGUCUCUGCUUGGCACGCAACAGGUCCCGGUUCAAUCCCCAGCAUCUCCA
This 71-nucleotide transfer RNA is filed under the name Sphaerodactylus townsendi. RNAcentral's name for it is "tRNA-Ala". It matches the Rfam family "tRNA". Rfam says of the family: Transfer RNA (tRNA) molecules are approximately 80 nucleotides in length. The record is from RNAcentral. Lineage: Eukaryota; Metazoa; Chordata; Lepidosauria; Squamata; Sphaerodactylidae.